UGACAGUUUCUGUCUUAUUAGAGGAACCUGUUUAUUAAUCGAUAACCCACGCUAUUUCUUACUUAAAUUAUUAACUAAAAAUUUAUAUACCGCCGUAAAAGAAUUAAUUUUAAUAUUACAUUCCUAAUAAUUUUUCUAAAAAAUCAGGUCAAGGUGUAAUCUAAGUUAAAGAUUAAAUGGGUUACUUUAAAUAUAAUUUAAGGAAUAUUAUUUAAACAAAAAUAAGAAAAAGGAUUUAACAGUAUCUUUAUAAAAAUAUUAUAAAAUGAAUAAGAAAAUACUAUUGUGCACACAUCGCGGUCCGCUUCUUAUAAAAA
This 317-nucleotide ribosomal RNA is filed under the name Stegodyphus lineatus. RNAcentral's name for it is "partial 12S ribosomal RNA". The record is from RNAcentral. Lineage: Eukaryota; Metazoa; Arthropoda; Arachnida; Araneae; Eresidae.